GGCCUGUGAAUUUUCAAGACUUAUUCCAAAAAAAGUAAAUGUAUUGCCUGUUGUUGAAUGGAUAUACUGAACAAUACCCAUAAUAAACAGAAACAAAAUUCUACUAUGCUACGAAAGAGACUCGCCUACGAGCCUAAACCAACGCCCCAUCCCAUAGCUCCAAAUGGUUUAAAGAAAAUAUUUACACAGAACAAGACCAGCACCAGAGUUGUGCAUAAAGCUCAAGAACCCAACAGCUCUUUGAUACCAGAUUUCUGAGCCACAGUGAGACGAGCAGGGAACUUGAUGUCAAACUUGAUCCUCAAAUUCCCUUUCUUUGACGGAUCUUUUGGAAGCGGCAUGCCUUCACCUGGGACGAUAUGUUCAUAAUUUGGUUGAAUCACGUUGUUGAUUGGAAUUGUUAAGUUCCUUCCAUCCAGAGUAGUGAGUUGGACAGUAGUACCGGUUAAAGCUUCAGCCAAAGGAAUCUUUUGUGUGACAAUCAAGUCAUUUCCAUCACGCGAGAAAACCUUAUGAGGUUUCUCAUCUAUUAUGAAGACCAGAUCAGCUGGUAUAACACCUGGCUGCUCAUUCCCUUUUUCUUGGAAGGUGAUCUUUGUACCUUUCUUCCACCCAGGUUUAAUUUCGAUUGUCAGAAUCUCUUGCACAAUUCUCUUGCCACUCGAAUCGGCAAUUUCUCUAGAAAUUUUCAUCUUUUUGGUGGUACCCUUGUAGAGAUCCUCAAGAUUACAAGGCAAGUUCUGUUGUACCGGAGCCUCUUUCCUUGGGACUGAUGAAUGCAUUGGAACACCACCACCUCCUCCUCCUUCACCGAAGGAUGCUGCGAAUAUAUCAUCAGUGAACAUAUUACCAAACCUUGAGCCCCUACCCCCUCCAGGUCCAUAUGGAGUAGAAAAGCCAAAAAAUUCAGCAAAUAUGUCAUCAGCAUUUCUACUGUUGAAUCUGAAUGAAGUAGGGCCAUCCCCAGUAGAAAAGUAGGUUGAACCGGCACCAGGACCACCAGCUCCAGGUGGUGGUACCCCGCCCUUGAGCCCUUCUUCACCAUACUGGUCAUACACAGCUUUUUUCUGGGAGUCGCUAAGCACAUCAUACGCUUCAGAGAUCUGUUUGAACUUAGCUUCAGCUUCUUUUUUGUUUUGUGGGUUCUUAUCCGGAUGCCAUUUCAUGGCAAGUUUUCUAUAAGCUUUCUUCAAAUCAUCAUCUGUAGCGUUCUUAUCAACACCCAAUACUUUGUAAUAAUCAACCCCCAUCUUCUCUACUACUGCUUCGUUUCUCUUCCUUUUCUUCAGUUUGAGAAAUUUGGGUUUUUGAAGAAAAAUGAUUCUUGAAGAUUGCUUCAGUAUAUGAAUUUGCGGAGAAAAAAAGAGAAGGAAAGUGCAGGAGAAGAC
Molecule: unclassified non-coding RNA, 1388 nt
Filed under: Hevea brasiliensis (rubber tree)
Lineage: Eukaryota; Viridiplantae; Streptophyta; Magnoliopsida; Malpighiales; Euphorbiaceae
Source: RNAcentral